Molecule: unclassified non-coding RNA, 358 nt
Filed under: Hevea brasiliensis (rubber tree)
Lineage: Eukaryota; Viridiplantae; Streptophyta; Magnoliopsida; Malpighiales; Euphorbiaceae
Source: RNAcentral
GUUGAUGCUUAUAUAUAAUAUAUAUUGUUUAAAAAGAUUGCAGCUUUAUAAUAGUUAGUUGGAAGGGUAUUGGUUAUUUGGAGCAAAAAUAGAGUGGGGAUAUACCAAUUGAUGGCUGAAAUUGGGAAGACUUUGACAGGAUAUGUAGUUGGGGUUAUUGUUUUAGCUUUUGCCCUUUUUGUUUGUGCUGAGGAAAUUGUUGCAAAUGGAGGAACAAAUGAUGACUUUGAAUCAAGCUACUUUUUUAAGAUAUUCAAGAUUUUGCUUCAUAAGGCUAAAUUGCAUUACCAACAUUUUUGGCCUGAAUUGGAAUUUGGGUGGAGAGUGAUCGUUGGUUCUGUGAUUGGAUUCUUUGCUG